CUUUCCUACGGGAGGCAGCAGUGAGGAAUAUUGGUCAAUGGCCGGAAGGCUGAACCAGCCAAGCCGCGUGAAGGACGAAGGUGCCAAGCAUUGUAAACUUCUUUUGUCAAGGGACAAAAUCAGGCUCGAGAGCCUGACCGAGGGUACUUGAAGAAAAAGCAUCGGCUAACUACGUGCCAGCAGCCGCGGUAAUACGUAGGGGGCAAGCGUUAUCCGGAAUUACUGGGUGUAAAGGGAGAGUAGGCGGCAAGGUAAGCGAUAUGUGAAAGCCUUAAGCUUAACUAAAGGAUUGCAUAACGAACUAU
Molecule: ribosomal RNA, 305 nt
Filed under: uncultured bacterium
Lineage: Bacteria
Description: bacterial SSU rRNA
Rfam family: Bacterial small subunit ribosomal RNA
Source: RNAcentral